AAAAAGACAAACUCUGGUUUUCGUGUCAAACGUUUGACCGUCCGUCUUAUUUGAAAAAAUUAUGAAAAAAAUUAAAAAGACAAGCCACGUAUAAAAUAUUAAUCAUGUUUUAUCAUCUAACAACAAUAAAAAUACAAAUUAUAAAAAAAUUCAUAUAAAACAGAUAGUUAAAGUUAGACAUAGAAACCCAGGGUUUGUCUGGGA
This is a non-coding RNA of Oryza glumipatula, 204 nucleotides long. The record is from Rfam. NCBI's taxonomy places the organism in Eukaryota, Viridiplantae, Streptophyta, Magnoliopsida, Poales, Poaceae.